This 363-nucleotide ribosomal RNA is filed under the name uncultured bacterium. Its description in RNAcentral is "partial 16S ribosomal RNA". It matches the Rfam family "Bacterial small subunit ribosomal RNA", at positions 338 to 699 of the family's 1533-position model. The record is from RNAcentral.
CCUACGGGAGGCAGCAGUGAGGAAUAUUGGUCAAUGGGCGGAAGCCUGAACCAGCCAAGUAGCGUGCGGGAUGAAGGCCCUACGGGUCGUAAACCGCUUUUGCACGGGGAUAACACCCUCCACUUGUGGAGGUCUGCAGGUACCGUGCGAAUAAGGGCCGGCUAAUUCCGUGCCAGCAGCCGCGGUAAUACGGAGGGCCCGAGCGUUCUCCGGAUUUAUUGGGGUUAAAGGGUCGGUAGGCGGGCGUUAAAGUUAGCUGGAAAAGCGCGCGGCUCAACCGCGCCCCGCAGUUGACACUGGACUCCUUGAGAGCACAACAGGCAGGCGGAAUUCGUGGUGUAGCGGUGAAAUGCAUAGAUAUCA